This is a long non-coding RNA of Corticium candelabrum, 490 nucleotides long. RefSeq lists it as uncharacterized. The record is from RefSeq and is a predicted model, not a curated record. The transcript is spliced from 3 exons. Lineage: Eukaryota; Metazoa; Porifera; Homoscleromorpha; Homosclerophorida; Plakinidae.
UAUAUAGCUAGAGCUACAAAGCCAAGGACAUCAUUGUCUCGCAUACUGAAUUGCUGGCAUCUAGAACUCCUUCAGUCCUACGUAUACACAUACUAAACGGUUCAUCGACCUCUAAUGGCUCGUGUGGCAGUGCUGAUGUUAGUUGCUGCCAUUGGACUUACCAUGCUCUUUCAAGAAGGAGAAAGCUUUCUUUUUGGUAAAAAGGCUCCGAUUGAGGGAAACCCCAAUUCAAUCGAAGAGAAAUACGAAACUAAGGCCGAACCGCAAGAUGACAAGUUGAAAGAAAUAGAUGCUGCAUACGAGAACCGAGCUCAACAGAAGCGUUGAACGAGAUGUUGGCUUCAACCAUUGACUUGCAGCUAGUGCUUAAUUCAUUAGAGCGCUUGCGUAGCACUAGCUGAAUCAGUUUCUGCUGAAAACUGCUGCUUUUUGCUGAUUAGUGCAUGAGUGUUGAUCUGUCUGCAUUAGAAUUUGCCAUUGUUGCGAAAAA